CGAGGCAUCCCCGAUCCAUCCAGCAUCUUCUCGCGCAGUCUUCUUCGACCCGCUGCCACAGUCCCGGCGCCCCAGGCCCUGCGCAGAUGAAGACCCUCCCCCGGACGGCUUUGCGGGCCCUGCCUCAGCCGGCGCCCCCUUCUCUCCUGCAGGACCCGGACCCGCGCUGCAGGGGCUGAGUGCCCCCUGGGUCGGCGUCUGAGUCUUGCCUCCCCGUAGGCUCAGUACCUGGCACGUGUCCAAGGCUCAGCAGCUGUACCACAACCACCCAACAGGAGAGAAGGAAAGGAGAGGUGCACCCCGGGGAUGUGGUGAGGCCAUCCCGUCAUGGGGAAUCAGAAAAGGACUGCGUCUUAGCCAGCCAGCUGGGGGAAGGUGGGGGUACCUCUUGUGUUUCCUUUUCUUGGAAUUAUUCUCCCUGGUGACCGGUAUAUAUCCAUUUGAGGCCCCUUGGCAUGAGAUAGAGCCCAGGUCACCAGGGGAGACUUAAAUAGACACCAGACCUCACCUCGAAGGCGACCUAAGGUGCUCCUGCCCCUUUGCCCUCCCCGUCCAGACCAGGCACUGCCUGUCAGGUGCUGCACGCUCCCAAACCUGUCCUGGAUUUUCCAUCCUCUUCAAGAUUCACCUUCCCAAACCUAUACCAUGUCAUCCGAGACGCACAAAAGCUGAUCUGAAAAGUCUUCUCUGCCUCAGAUGCAGAUGAAUUGUCAUCCCGUGGAGGGUAGUCAGUUUCCUUCCUGCUCACAAGAAGAUGGUGUGGCUCAUGGGAUGGUAACGACAGCCCCCAUUCAUGAAGUGGCUAGCUGUUGUACCAGAUAUGUAGAUAAGUUGCCUGGGCUUCUCGGGACAUGUGACCAGGUGGCAUCUGGGUUGCUCACCCAGGGCUUCUUGAUUGUUGCAGAGGAGGCAGCACCGGGCAGAGGGGCCCUUGAGAGAUGUCACCAUCCUGUUAAGAAAGGGCUGGACCACAGCGCUGCAGAGGUGAGCUCUGUUCAUUGGAGGUCUGGGGCUUGGCAUCCCGCAAGUGCCCACAGUUCCCCUGGUGUGAUGUUCUCUGGGAAGUAGGUAGAGGAGUGACGAGGGUGGCUUCGUCCUGGCCUUCUCUGGGGCCUUCAAGAACACACCUGGUUUCUAUUUAUGCCCUUGAUUCUGAGAGCUCUUCCUCAAAUGUUGGCAGCAGAACGUGUGAAUUGAAGCAGGGAAGGGAGUUUGGCAUAUCCACCUGUACGUGGGUCUCCGUCACUCCUCUGCCGCCUCCUAGCUUUGGGACCUUCUCUUACCUCUGGUUUCACCCUCUGGAAAGCAGGACUCAAAUGAGGCUAUUUGUCUUCAGAUCACAUGGCAUCUGUUUUUUACAACCUGAGACCUCUUUCACUUUUCCUUCGGAGGCCUCUCCUGUCUGGGCCACGGGGAAGGCUUUGUGCAGGACUGGAAGCAGUUGCUGGGUCCUUGGGCUCCACUGGGUUCACUACUCCCAGGCCUUUUCCAUGGGCCUCCUUUUCCAGCAAGCCCCCGUCUUUCCCUGCCCCUGCACUUGGACAUGAUCACCGGCUGCCCAUGGCCCGUUGGUAGGCAGUGCGGGCGGAGGGAGCGUGGGCGGGUUGUCCCGCGCUUGGAGAGUCUGCUUCCUUACCCUGCAGUUCCAGGAGCUUUCCCACCCUCCUGCUGCUCCCCUCAUACUCCUGGAGCCUCCAGGGCUUCAGGGGCUGUCCUGUGUGCGUUAGUGUCAUUGUUGGGGCUUUUAUUUCCUGCCCUGCUGUUGGGAACCGGACUACAUGUGCUGCGUGAGUUCCCCUGAAUGUUCAGUUGCUGCCACUCGGCCAUGGCAUGUUCCCAUGGGCCUGGCCUUGACACCCUUUUCUGCCCACCACUGGUGAAUGGCACGCUGAUUAGCGCUGGCCACCCUGCCGCAGGCCAUCCGCCGUCUCCCUCUUUAGAGUUAACUACUGUUCUUUUUAUGAGGAAACGGCGUGUCUAUUCAGGAAAUGAUCACUGCCAGCAUCUGCAGAGUGCUUACUGUCUGGCGGCUUCUGUGCUGAGCCCUUUUCUGCUGCCUGCCAUGCGCUGUAUGAGCAGGGGCAAGGCAGGUGCUCAUUCUCAGCUUCUUGUCCGAUGCAGAUGAGUCCACGGUGUGCAGAGGCCGUCGUGGAAGUUGUGGUGUCAGGAGCGCUGUAGACCGCAGUGUCCUUGAGUGUUCAUUCUGACUCUUCUCUGGGAGCAUUGAGAUUCCUUUUUGAGCCAAGUUUGUUGUGGAAAAAAACACUGCAGCUCAUCUCUGACUAAUUGGGGACGCUUUCAUGGAUGUCACCUUAAAGAAAGAUGAGGGGUGCUGCUUUGGAAGAAGCCUCGGGGGUCAGAACCACUCGCCCUCUCAAGGUAUUUAGGGGCUGACCGCGGACACUGGCGUAGCAGCGUGAAGCAGGAUGUUGUCGCAUGACCAUCGCCAAACCUUUCUCUUCUGUUGCCUCAGCACAGCGUGGAAGGACUCUGCCCUCUGUGUGAACAGGGCAGAGGGGAAGUUCUGGGGCUCCAGGGACUUGGGGUUCAGAGCUGGAGACCUUCUACUGGCUCCCAGCAGGUGCCUCAGAACACUGCUGACCAGGAAGACUGUCUCUUCCCAUCUGGACCAGGUCAUCCCGUGGCUUCUGUGUCUCCCAUUUGCUCCUAGUAUAACUUUUUAGAACCAGGAGUUCCUGUUGGAGUCUUGUGUGCCAUGCAUCUUAUCUUCUCACCCACUUAAAUAAAUCUCGAAACUGC
This 2760-nucleotide long non-coding RNA is filed under the name Sus scrofa (pig). Its description in RNAcentral is "lncRNA (ENSSSCG00055024640.1)". Lineage: Eukaryota; Metazoa; Chordata; Mammalia; Artiodactyla; Suidae. The record is from RNAcentral.